CUACGUGCCAGCAGCCGCGGUAAUACGGGGGGUGCGAGCGUUAAUCGGAAUAACUGGGCGUAAAGGGCACGCAGGCGGUGACUUAAGUGAGAUGUGAAAGCCCCGAGCUUAACUUGGGAAUUGCAUUUCAUACUGGGUCGCUAGAGUACUUUAGGGAGGGGUAGAAUUCCACGUGUAGCGGUGAAAUGCGUAGAGAUGUGGAGGAAUACCGAAGGCGAAGGCAGCCCCUUGGGAAUGUACUGACGCUCAUGUGCGAAAGCGUGGGGAGCAAACAGGAUUAGAUACCCUGGUAGUCCACGCUGUAAACGAUGUCGAUUUGGGGAUUGGGCUUUGAGCUUGGUGCCCGUAGCUAACGUGAUAAAUCGACCGCCUGGGGAGUACGGCCGCAAGGUUAAAACUCAAAUGAAUUGACGGGGGCCCGCACAAGCGGUGGAGCAUGUGGUUUAAUUCGAUGCAACGCGAAGAACCUUACCUACCCUUGACAUCCAUGGAAUCUUGUAGAGAUACGAGAGUGC
Molecule: ribosomal RNA, 515 nt
Filed under: uncultured bacterium
Lineage: Bacteria
Description: bacterial SSU rRNA
Rfam family: Bacterial small subunit ribosomal RNA
Source: RNAcentral